Molecule: transfer RNA, 76 nt
Filed under: Oscillospiraceae bacterium
Lineage: Bacteria; Bacillati; Bacillota; Clostridia; Eubacteriales; Oscillospiraceae
Description: tRNA-Lys
Rfam family: tRNA
About the family: Transfer RNA (tRNA) molecules are approximately 80 nucleotides in length.
Source: RNAcentral
GAUCCGGUAGCUCAGUUGGCAGAGCAUCUGCCUUUUAAGCAGAGGGUCCCGGGUUCGAGCCCCGGCCGGGUCACCA